RNAcentral lists this unclassified non-coding RNA (395 nucleotides) under uncultured Planctomycetia bacterium. Its description in RNAcentral is "contains 16S-23S intergenic spacer region". Lineage: Bacteria; Pseudomonadati; Planctomycetota; Planctomycetia. The record is from RNAcentral.
UCCGGUUUGACACCUGCAGUCCCCCCAGAGUGCCCCUUGCGGGUUGCAACUGAGGGUAAGGGUUUCGCUCGUUAUGGGACUUAACCCGACAUCUCACGACACGAGCUGACGACAGCCAUGCAGCACCUGUGGCCGCUUCCGGAUUGGAUACCGUUCGUUCCCGUUUCCGGGUCCUACCUGCGGCCUCUUUCGAACAUGUCAAGUCCGGGAUAAGGUUCUUCGCGUAGCCUCGAAUUAAGCCACAUGCUCCACCGCUUGUGUGAGCCCCCGUCAAUUCCUUCGAGUUUCAGCCUUGCGACCAUACUCCCCAGGCGGGAUACUUAACGCUUUCGCUCCGUCAAAAAGCCCCUUGCAGGGCCUUCUGAGUAGUAUCCAUCGUUUAGGGCGUGGACUAC